CCUACGGGAGGCAGCAGUGAGGAAUAUUGGUCAAUGGGCUUACGCCUGAACCAGCCAAGUCGCGUGAGGGAAGACUGCCCUAUGGGUUGUAAACCUCUUUUGUCAGGGAGCAACGCCGGCUACGUGUAGCCUGACUGAGAGUACCUGCAGAAAAAGCAUCGGCAAACUCCGUGCCAGCAGCCGCGGUAAUACGGAGGAUGCAAGCGUUAUCCGGAUUGAUUGGGUUUAAAGGGUGCGUAGGCGGAAUGCCAAGUCAGCGGUAAAAUCGCGGGGCUCAACCUCGCUCCGCCGUUGAAACUGGCGUUCUUGAGUGGGCGAGAGGUAUGCGGAAUGCGUGGUGUAGCGGUGAAAUGCAUAGAUAUCACGCAGAACUCCGAUUGCGAAGGCAGCAUACCGGAGUCAAACUGACGCUGAAGCACGAAAGCGUGGGUAUCGAACAGGAUUAGAUACCCCUGUAGUC
This 460-nucleotide ribosomal RNA is filed under the name uncultured bacterium. Its description in RNAcentral is "partial 16S ribosomal RNA". It matches the Rfam family "Bacterial small subunit ribosomal RNA", at positions 338 to 795 of the family's 1533-position model. The record is from RNAcentral.